This 253-nucleotide ribosomal RNA is filed under the name uncultured bacterium. Its description in RNAcentral is "partial 16S ribosomal RNA". It matches the Rfam family "Bacterial small subunit ribosomal RNA", at positions 524 to 776 of the family's 1533-position model. The record is from RNAcentral.
UACAUGGGGUGCAAACGUUGCUCGGAAUUACUGGGCGUAAAGGGCGCGUAGGCGGUUCGAUAAGUCCCGUGUGAAAUCCCUCGGCUCAACUGAGGAACUGCACGGGAAACUGACGGGCUUGAGUUCGGGAGAGGGAAGCGGAAUUCCGGGUGUAGCGGUGAAAUGCGUAGAUAUCCGGAGGAACACCGGUGGCGAAGGCGGCUUCCUGGACCGACACUGACGCUGAGGCGCGAAAGCUAGGGGAGCAAACGGG